CAUUAAAUUACAGUUACUUUGGAGUAUAUUUAUUCAUGCAAAUUACUCCUCCAUGUACAGGUGUUUCCAUGGCUUUUCUAUUGCUGUGCGGACACCAUGAACAAGGAAGGGUUUAUCGGGGUCUUAUAGCUUCAAAAGGUGACUACUCCAGGACCAUUGCAGCAGGGUAGAUAUGGCACCAGCCAGGCAGGCAUGGCCCUGGGGCAGUAGCUGAUAGCUUACAUCUUAAUCCAUAAGCAUGAGGUAGUGGUGGUAGUGACGAGACAAGAGACAGAGACAGACAGUCAGACAGACAAGACACAAAGAGAGGGAGAGAGAGAGAAUAUAUGGACAGUGCGGGUUUUAAAAUCUCAAAACCAGCCCUCAGUAACACUCGUUCUUCAACAAAGCCACAUCUCUUUUUUUUGGGGGGGGGGUUCUUUUUUUCGGAGCUGGGGCCCGAACCCAGGGCCUUGCGCUUCCUAGGCAAGCACUCUACCACUGAGCUAAAUCCCCAACCCCCAAUGCCACACCUCUUAAUUCUUCCUGAAUAAUUCCACCAACUGGGGACUAAGUUUCCAAAUAUCUGAGGCUAUGGGGUGUUGUGGGUUGCAUUUGCAUUCAAACUUCACAAGGUUUGUUCACUGUAAUUUAUGUUAUCCAGAUCUGAAUUCACUACUUCAGAGCUUAUGGUGGCAAAAGGGAAGACAAAAAGAAAGUAACCAGAAUGCCUCAACAGAGUUAUAUUAAAAAAUAGUAAUAAAA
This 744-nucleotide long non-coding RNA is filed under the name Rattus norvegicus (Norway rat). RNAcentral's name for it is "long non-coding RNA NONRATT007178". Lineage: Eukaryota; Metazoa; Chordata; Mammalia; Rodentia; Muridae. The record is from RNAcentral.